AGAAUACUAACAAUGCUCUAAUUAGACUAUAAUAAUGGUAAACAAACAUAAUCAAAUUCAAAACAACUCAAAGAAAUUUCAAACAAAUAAUAAAAUUCUUAAAGAAAUAUUAGAAUGAUCACAAAUUUUACUCAAAUAUAUGUCAAUUCAACCUUAAUUUAAUUCUAUUUAAAACCCUAUUGAAUUUCAUUCAACUUUAGAUCAAACCUAAUUAAAUCUUAAAUCCUAAUAAUUCCUAAAUCCUAAGUCAAAUCCUAAACAAAUCUUUAAAUUAAAUCCUAUUCCAAAUCCUAAACCCUAAACCAAACCCUAAAUCAAAUCCUAAACCAAACCCUAAAUCAAACUCUAAACCAAAUCCUAAAUCAAAUCCUAAACCAAAUCCUAAUUCAAUUCUAAAUCCUAAACCAAACCUUAAAUCAAAUCCUAACCAAAUUCUAAUCCAAACCCUAAA
This 451-nucleotide long non-coding RNA is filed under the name Physcomitrium patens. RNAcentral's name for it is "long non-coding RNA (PPAT_LNC012007)". The record is from RNAcentral. Lineage: Eukaryota; Viridiplantae; Streptophyta; Bryopsida; Funariales; Funariaceae.